Daktulosphaira vitifoliae (grape phylloxera) is the source of this 83-nucleotide non-coding RNA. Lineage: Eukaryota; Metazoa; Arthropoda; Insecta; Hemiptera; Phylloxeridae. The record is from the annotation of a RefSeq genome assembly.
UCCCCGCCGGGGAGCCGGUAGUAUAGUGGUAAGUAUCCCCGCCUGUCACGCGGGAGACCGGGGUUCGAUUCCCCGCCGGGGAG